AUGAUGAGCUAUUUUUGUGUAAAGCUGCUAUUGGCCGUGGAAAGACUAGCUAUGCAUGUCUCAGUUUUAUUGAGCUUAGAUGAAAAUUUGAGUGAACCGACUAAAUUCAUACAAAAAAGGGACCAAGUACAACCCCAAAUUAGAGACACGAUGGGAUGCCCAUCCUGGUCACUAUUAGAUUUUGUUAUUUGUCAUCUAAGAGCUACUAUUAGACUUACAAUCUCGAAUGGCUACUUGUAUUUUUUAAUUUGUUUGUGGACCUGGAAUGGCCAUUAUUUGGGCAUAGGACAUGCUAGUACGUUUUCUGAAAGUUGCAGGAGAGGCAUGCUAUUUAAAAUGGAUAGAUUGCAAAAAAAUUGUACCUCCAUUGGUCAGGACCUGGCCAUGGAAGAAUGA
This 396-nucleotide ribosomal RNA is filed under the name Triticum aestivum (bread wheat). RNAcentral's name for it is "partial small subunit ribosomal RNA". The record is from RNAcentral. Lineage: Eukaryota; Viridiplantae; Streptophyta; Magnoliopsida; Poales; Poaceae.